GUCUACAGCCAUACCACCCUAAAUGUACUUGUUCUCAUGUGACCUAAGAAACUAAGCAGAGUCAGGCUUGGCUAAUAUUUGGAUGGGAGAAAUAGAUAAUUAGAUUAAAUGCAGUGUCCA
This 120-nucleotide ribosomal RNA is filed under the name Cebus imitator (Panamanian white-faced capuchin). The record is from RNAcentral. Lineage: Eukaryota; Metazoa; Chordata; Mammalia; Primates; Cebidae.